Molecule: unclassified non-coding RNA, 373 nt
Filed under: uncultured Sphingobacteriales bacterium
Lineage: Bacteria; Pseudomonadati; Bacteroidota; Sphingobacteriia; Sphingobacteriales
Description: contains 16S-23S intergenic spacer region
Source: RNAcentral
UCACUGUUUGCACAGGCAGUCUCAUUAGAGUCCCCGGCAUAACCCGCUGGCAACUAAUGAUAGGGGUUGCGCUCGUUGCAGGACUUAACCUAACACCUCACGGCACGAGCUGACGACAGCCAUGCAGCACCUAGUUUCUGGUCAUUGCUGACUGACAUGUUUCCACAUCAUUCCAUAACUUUCAAGCCCGGGUAAGGUUCCUCGCGUAUCAUCGAAUUAAACCACAUGCUCCUCCGCUUGUGCGGGCCCCCGUCAAUUCCUUUGAGUUUCAACCUUGCGGUCGUACUUCCCAGGUGGAUAACUUAAUGCUUUCGCUCAGACGCGUACAGUGUAUCGCACACAUCGAGUUAUCAUCGUUUAGGGCGUGGACUAC